AUUGAACGCUGGCGGCAUGCCUUACACAUGCAAGUCGAACGGCAGCACGGGUUCUUGCACCUGGUGGCGAGUGGCGAACGGGUGAGUAAUACAUCGGAACAUGUCCUGUAGUGGGGGAUAGCCCGGCGAAAGCCGGAUUAAUACCGCAUACGAUCUACGGAUGAAAGCGGGGGACCUUCGGGCCUCGCGCUAUAGGGUUGGCCGAUGGCUGAUUAGCUAGUUGGUGGGGUAAAGGCCUACCAAGGCGACGAUCAGUAGCUGGUCUGAGAGGACGACCAGCCACACUGGGACUGAGACACGGCCCAGACUCCUACGGGAGGCAGCAGUGGGGAAUGUUGGACAAUGGGCGAAAGCCUGAUCCAGCAAUGCCGCGUGUGUGAAGAAGGCCUUCGGGUUGUAAAGCACUUUUGUCCGGAAAGAAAUCCUUGGCCCUAAUACGGUCGGGGGAUGACGGUACCGGAAGAAUAAGCACCGGCUAACUACGUG
This 486-nucleotide ribosomal RNA is filed under the name uncultured bacterium. RNAcentral describes it as "partial 16S ribosomal RNA". It matches the Rfam family "Bacterial small subunit ribosomal RNA", at positions 30 to 507 of the family's 1533-position model. The record is from RNAcentral.